GGCCCAAUAGCACAGUUGGUUAGUGCACCUGCUUAUAGUCCCUUUUCAUCCAUAUUCUAAGCAGGAGACCCUCGUUCGAAUCGGGGUUUGGGUCA
Non-coding RNA from Mycena leptocephala, 95 nucleotides. The record is from the annotation of a GenBank genome assembly. Lineage: Eukaryota; Fungi; Basidiomycota; Agaricomycetes; Agaricales; Mycenaceae.